This is a long non-coding RNA of Pyrgilauda ruficollis (rufous-necked snowfinch), 556 nucleotides long. RefSeq lists it as uncharacterized. The transcript is spliced from 3 exons. The record is from RefSeq and is a predicted model, not a curated record. Lineage: Eukaryota; Metazoa; Chordata; Aves; Passeriformes; Passeridae.
UUUGUCCUUCAGCUAUGGUGUUACUCUGCUGGAAUAAAACCUUGCAAAAGAGCCUUUCUUGCCUCUAUCGCUGAGCCAGCUGCAGGUAUUUCUCUGGGGGCGGCUGACAACCCUCGAGGCUUCGAGGACCAGCCAAUUCAGCCAGACCUCCUCUGAGAUUUUUUUUCUGGCACACUGAGGUGUUCUUUCCAGGUGCUACAGCUGAGUUGUCAGAAACCCAGGACAUCCCUCUGGAUGCCCUGGAUGGCUCAAAAUCUUGGCAGGGGCUCGGAGACCCUGGCAGGAAGCCAAAGACACCUGGGAAUUUGAUCUCAACCCAUGAAGCAAAUUACCAACUCUAUAUGAAGCAUUGCAAGUCACAAAAGUUUAGAUAACAUAACAGUAGUUGUCACAGGGUGAAAGGUGGAAUUUUGAAGAAUUUUACUAUGGGGGUCUAGGGGGACAAAAUGGAGGGAUCUGGGCGUUGUCCUGUUCUUCUCCCUUCUUCUUCCUAGCCUCCAUCUUCUUGGUGAUGGUGGCAUUUUGGGAUUGGUUUAGAAUAGAAAGUCACUGUCUA